AUUCUAGCUAUUUAUUAGUUUUAUCAGUGAAUUAUAUGGUUUAAAUUAAAUAAUUAUUUUCCAAUUUUUAGAAUUAUAGUUUAUUAAUUUCAUAAAUUAGCAAUUGAUUUUAAAAUAGAUUAAUAUUUGUGCCAGCAUUCGCGGUUAUACAAUUUAUUUAAAUUAAUUUUUUAGGUUAUUAAUUUUAAUAAAUAACGAAAUUUAAAAUUUUAGUAUUUAGGUGGAAUUUAUACUUUAAAUUAAUUUCUUAAUAAAUCUUAAAAAGUUAAGUUAUUAAACUAGGAUUAGAUACCCUAUUAUAAUUAGUGUAAUUUUAACUUGAAUAUUAUUAGUUAUGUUCUUUAAAGCUCAAAGAAUUUGGCGGUAAAAUAUUUUUUUAGAGGAAUCUGUAAAGUAAUUGAUAAACCACGAUAGUUUAUACUUUAAUUUUAUUUGUAUACCGCUAUACUUACGAAUGUUUUGAUAAAAUAUUUUCUUUAACUUUUAUGAUAUAAAUUAGGUCAAGGUGCAGUUUUAUUAUAGUUAUUAUGGAUUACUUUUAUUUUAAAUUAAAAGGAAGAUAUUUUAAAAUAAUUAUUUGAAUAAGGAUUUAAAAGUAAAGUUAAUUAAUUAAUUAGUUUGAAUUUUAAUCUAUUUUAUGCACAUAUCGCCCGUCACUCCUAAUUUAAGUUAGGAUAAGUCGUAACAAAGUAAUUUUACCGGAAGGUGAAGUUAGAAAGAU
RNAcentral lists this non-coding RNA (721 nucleotides) under Drabescus ineffectus. Lineage: Eukaryota; Metazoa; Arthropoda; Insecta; Hemiptera; Cicadellidae. The record is from RNAcentral.